Molecule: long non-coding RNA, 906 nt
Organism: Pseudoliparis swirei
Lineage: Eukaryota; Metazoa; Chordata; Actinopteri; Perciformes; Liparidae
Exons: 2
Source: RefSeq, a predicted model, not a curated record
CACGCACGCACACGCACACGCACACGCCGGGACCAAUAAUCCUCCUGGUGGUGCAAAGCAUGCUGGGACAUCAGCAGGCGUCCGCGUGGCGUCGCCGGGCAGAAUGCGACCUCCUCUCUUCAGUCGUUCUCUUCGACGUGUUUUCCUUUCAGGGUUUUUCUGUCGCUCGUGAACGCCGACGGCUCCGUUGCCGUGGAGACGAGGGCGGAGCAGGAAGCCAUGACGACGGAGCCGUUCCCCACGCUGCACAUGAACCACACGAUGCACUGAAGCUCACGCGUCAAUACUCACUUCCUCUUGCUCCUCCUCUUCCUCCUCCUGCUCGUGGAUCUUAUGAAAUCCUCCCUGACCUCUGACCUUCAGUGGCUGCAGCUCCUCUGAGGUACGGCGUCCCAUGAGGGACAAACUUCAGCUCCAGACCUCCGUUCAGUCCAACGCCUCCUGUAGUAUACUUAUUGUACUUAUUAUACUGUAUUAUAUUUAUUAUACUUAUUAUAUUUAUUAUACUUAUUGUACUUAUUAUACUGUAUUAUAUUUAUUAUACUUAUUGUACUUAUUAUACUGUAUUAUAUUUAUGAUAUUUAUUAUGCUGUAUUAUAUUUAUUAUACUUAUUGUAUUUAUUAUACUGUAUUAUAUUUAUGAUAUUUAUUAUGCUGUAUUAUAUUUAUUAUACUGUAUUAUAUUUAUUAUACUUAUUGUAAUUAUUAUACUGUAUUAUAUUUAUGAUAUUUAUUCUGUAUUAUAUUUAUUAUACUUAUUGUAUUUAUUAUGCUUUAUUUACAUGAUGCAUCUGGUCAGAUUUAUAAAAAUAUAAAAAUACAUAAAUAUAAAAAGUUAUUUCCCCAGAAACAGUCAAAACAACGACGUCAGCAUAUUAAAUAUCAAUAAAAUGACACUGUAGUGUG